Long non-coding RNA from Asparagus officinalis (garden asparagus), 2048 nucleotides. RefSeq lists it as uncharacterized. The record is from RefSeq and is a predicted model, not a curated record. NCBI's taxonomy places the organism in Eukaryota, Viridiplantae, Streptophyta, Magnoliopsida, Asparagales, Asparagaceae. The transcript has 2 exons.
GCUUCGAGCGCUUUGAAAUACGUGGCGCUUGAUAAGUUCAGCUGGGAUCAGGAUUAUGACAAGAUUAAGGUGCGCGCUUUUAAUCUAUGACUCUCUCAAAGUCAAAUUGGAAUUGUUUAGUGAUGGUUUAGGCAUUUUGACUGAUGGGGGCAUUUCCAUAGUUACUUAUUUUAAAUUGUUUAUUGUAAGAAGCGGGGGGAAAAAAGGUUAUUCACUUGAUCUGAAAUAUGUGGGAAUUUUUAUGAGAUUUAGGUUGGGUGGCAUUUAAGAAGCCUCAACGUCAGAAAUAUUUGGUAAUUGAGUUUUGUUUCUAUUCCAAAUGCAUAGCGGUAUUUUGUAGGCUAGUUUAAGGGAUGAUAUGGAUUGUUGCUCUAUUUAUUGUUUGUUAUUUUGAUAUCAGCCUUUCCAAUGUAAAUAAUGCUCUCAGCAUUCGAUCUCUUCUUAUGUCCAACCACCUCCUCAUCCUUAGAACGAUGGUAAACCCCUAAGUUUGUCCAGAUAUUUUGUAUUUCAGUGGUGUUACUUGUUCAUGGAUCACUGGUUUGUCAAGUGUAUGAAUAUCCAUCCAAAAUCGAUUUUAGAAAGUGUACAUGAGGAUGUAUCCUUUUUGUGCGUGUAGAGCAAGGUGUGAGACAUUCUCAUUGUAAUAGUUUUUUUUACCACUAUUUGUUUGGAUGCUAUUUCAUAGUAAAAGCUGACCCCGAGCUUGCAGGACAUUAGGAAUAGGUCGUAAUUAUAAGAUAGUUAAUAGGUAUUGUUUCUAGUUAUCGAUUAUGGGUUAUUCUCGGUCCCAAUGUUUCUGUUCAUGCUAUCAGACCAGCUACUGAUCAUAGCGGUGGUAAGUCCUCUGGUGGUGUGUUUUUUUUGCUCCUCGGACUAUGUUGUGUUUUUUAACCACUUCGAGUUCUUUUAUGCUUCUUCUUACCCUUCUUAUCUGUUGGAAAUAUCACUUCCCAUUCGAUUUUCAUACAUUUGGCAUGCUACAAAAGGUCAUCAUGAAAGACAAUUCUGGCACGAAACUCUCUUACAUUCUGGCAUCAAAUGCUUAAAAUUUUACCUUUGUCCAUGUCCAAGGAUAUGGUGUCCUAUUGUCUGAUAUACCUUUGUCCAUGUAACACCAAGGAUAUUUAUGUAGCAUGCGUUUGGCAUGCUACAAAUGGUUAUCAUGAAAGACAUUCCUGGCAUGAAACUCUGUUACAUGCUGGUAUUUCCUUUUCAUUAUAUGAGCCAUGUUCGAUUGUUAGAUUUCCAAAAGUCUAUAAUAUAAUUAUCGUGGGGUGUGUUCUGCUAUAUAACUUUAUUAGAACUGAAUUGAAAAAUGAUCCAUUUGAAAUUGAUAAGCUAGAAGAAUAUGAGGUGGAAGAAGGAGAACAAAAUGAAAAGAAUGAAGUUGAAACAAUAACAUCCAUGGGGACAUCAAACGAGUGGUUUCAAUUUAGAGCAGAUUUAGGAAGUAUUAUGUAUAAUCAUUGGCUUGCAAGUGGAAACAAUACAUGAAUUUACUAAUGACCACCUUAAUAAUUAUGGUGUUUUCUAAAAUUCAUUAUUUUCUAGGCACAUGAGUGAUGACAGUCAUUGUGUAAAUAAUGUAAUGUGGAUUUUUGACCCAAAAAAAAAUGUAAUGUGGAUUUGUGUUUCAGAUGACAGGUUACAAACUGAAGCUUGAGGGAUUUGGAAGACUAGAAGCUAAAGUUUGUGAGUGGGGAAAUAUUGAGGUCUCUAUGGUGAUUUAGGAUUCUAACCCUUGCUAUGAAGACGCACAUAUGAGGCUUGCUACAGUACUUUUAAUGUUGCUAUUGAGUCCAACUGAGUGUUAUGUUUGUUUCCUGGUCUUUUCUUUCUUCUGUCAUGAUCCUGUUCAUGCCUGAACAUUUGAAAGAUGGGAAAUAAGUGGACUAUGGUUGUUCUACUAUUUUGUUUAUAGACGAACUUACUACUCUUCUAGUUUAUCAAGUAAUUAAGUAGAUUGUCUUUACUAAUCGUGAUCGUGUUGCUGGUAGUUAUGAUGGCAUUUAUAUCAAGUUAUUGAUCUUAUACAGAUCCUUGCA